AUUUCGACCUGAACUCAAGCGUGAGCACCCGCUGAACUUAAGCAUAUCAUUUAGCGGAGGA
Molecule: ribosomal RNA, 61 nt
Filed under: Nacobbus bolivianus
Lineage: Eukaryota; Metazoa; Nematoda; Chromadorea; Rhabditida; Pratylenchidae
Description: partial 28S ribosomal RNA
Source: RNAcentral